This 605-nucleotide ribosomal RNA is filed under the name uncultured Actinobacteridae bacterium. RNAcentral describes it as "bacterial SSU rRNA". It matches the Rfam family "Bacterial small subunit ribosomal RNA", at positions 252 to 866 of the family's 1533-position model. The record is from RNAcentral. Lineage: Bacteria; Bacillati; Actinomycetota; Actinomycetes.
GUGAGGUAACGGCUCACCAAGGCGACGACGGGUAGCCGGCCUGAGAAGGUGACCGGCCACACUGGGACUGAGACACGGCCCAGACUCCUACGGGAGGCAGCAGUGGGGAAUAUUGCACAAUGGGCGCAAGCCUGAUGCGGCGACGCCGCGUGAGGGAUGACGGCCUUCGGGUUGUAAACCUCUGUUAGCAGGGAAGAAGAGAGAUUGACGGUACCUGCAGAGAAAGCGCCGGCUAACUACGUGCCAGCAGCCGCGGUAAUACGUAGGGCGCGAGCGUUGUCCGGAAUUAUUGGGCGUAAAGAGCUUGUAGGCGGUUUGUCGCGUCUGCUGUGAAAGGCCGGAGCUUAACUCCGUGUAUUGCAGUGGGUACGGGCAGACUAGAGUGCAGUAGGGGAGACUGGAAUUCCUGGUGUAGCGGUGGAAUGCGCAGAUAUCAGGAGGAACACCGAUGGCGAAGGCAGGUCUCUGGGCUGUAACUGACGCUGAGAAGCGAAAGCAUGGGGAGCGAACAGGAUUAGAUACCCUGGUAGUCCAUGCCGUAAACGUUGGGCACUAGGUGUGGGGGACAUUCCACGUUUUCCGCGCCGUAGCUAACGCAUUAAGUG